GACGAACCGUCCAAACGUUGUUCGGAAUCACUGGGCUUAAAGGGCGCGUAGGCGGACCACCAAGUCCGGGGUGAAAUCUUUCGGCUUAACCGGAAAAGUGCCUUGGAUACUGGUGGUCUCGAGUGAGGUAGGGGCAUGUGGAACUUCUGGUGGAGCGGUGAAAUGCGUUGAUAUCAGAAGGAACUCCGGUGGCGAAAGCGACGUGCUGGACCUCUUCUGACGCUGAGGCGCGAAAGCUAGGGGAGCGAACGGG
RNAcentral lists this ribosomal RNA (253 nucleotides) under uncultured bacterium. Its description in RNAcentral is "partial 16S ribosomal RNA". It matches the Rfam family "Bacterial small subunit ribosomal RNA", at positions 524 to 776 of the family's 1533-position model. RNAcentral also lists the same sequence under 1 other name. The record is from RNAcentral.